UAAGCGGAGGAAAAGAAACUAACAAGGAUUCCCCUAGUAACGGCGAGUGAAGCGGGAAGAGCUCAAAUUUGAAAUCUGGUAGCCUUCGGUUGCCCGAGUUGUAAUCUAGAGAAGUGUUUUCCGUGCCGGCCCAUGUACAAGUCCCUUGGAACAGGGCGUCAUAGAGGGUGAGAAUCCCGUCCUUGACAUGGACCCCCGGUGCUUUGUGAUACACUUUCAACGAGUCGAGUUGUUUGGGAAUGCAGCUCAAAAUGGGUGGUGAAUUCCAUCUAAAGCUAAAUAUUGGCGAGAGACCGAUAGCGAACAAGUACCGUGAGGGAAAGAUGAAAAGCACUUUGGAAAGAGAGUUAAACAGUACGUGAAAUUGUUGAAAGGGAAACGAUUGAAGUCAGUCAUGCUCUUGGGACUUACCUCCCUUGAGUGGGGUCAACAUCAGUUUUGAUCGAUGGAUAAAGGCACUAGGAAGGUAGCACUCUCGGGUGAACUUAUAGCCUAGCGUCAUAUACAUUGAUUGGGACUGAGGAACGCAGCAUGCCUUUUGGCCGGGAUUCGUCCACGUACAUGCUUAGGAUGUUGACAUAAUGGCUUUAAACGACCCGUCUUGAAACACG
This 611-nucleotide ribosomal RNA is filed under the name Naganishia kalamii. RNAcentral describes it as "Naganishia sp. KV-2022a partial large subunit ribosomal RNA". It matches the Rfam family "Eukaryotic large subunit ribosomal RNA", at positions 47 to 663 of the family's 3401-position model. Lineage: Eukaryota; Fungi; Basidiomycota; Tremellomycetes; Filobasidiales; Filobasidiaceae. The record is from RNAcentral.